Molecule: long non-coding RNA, 519 nt
Filed under: Cricetulus griseus (Chinese hamster)
Lineage: Eukaryota; Metazoa; Chordata; Mammalia; Rodentia; Cricetidae
Description: lncRNA (ENSCGRG00015039964.1)
Source: RNAcentral
CUUAGUUAAAAUAGAUAGUUAGGAUGUGACAUAAGCAGAUUGUUGUAUUUUCUUAUAUUUACCUUUAUGAUUGUUAAUUUUGGAUACUUUUCACUGUUAAGUUUUAAUCCUCUUUUAGACUAAAAGGGGAAUUGUAGGAGAAGCUGUAACAUCACCUAUUUAGGGGCUGGCUACAGGUGUGCCUGACCACUCUUGCGAGGGCAUGGUCAGGGUAAUAUAGAGUGAGACUUCCAGGGGACUGUGUUUUCUCUUUCAGUUUCACUUCUGUACUUGCCUUACAUACUGCUGCCAUGCCGGCUGGCUAGGUUGCUCUAGACUGGUUCCAGCCCAAGAUGGAUAUGGUUUUCCAUGCCUUCAAGGAAUCCUAAGAGAGAACACGCCUGACAGAAUGUGUGAUUCCAUGACGGGUACCCCUGAGACUGGUUCCAGCCAAAGAUGGAUAUGGUUUUCCAUGCCUUCAAGGAAUCCUAAGACAGAACACGCAUGACAGAAUGUGUGAUUCCAUGACGGGUACCCCUG